CGACCGCUGGCGGCGUGCUUACCACAUGCAAGUCGAACGGAAAGGCCCUGCUUGCAGGGUACUCGAGUGGCGAACGGGUGAGUAACACGUGGGUGAUCUGCCCUGCACUUCGGGAUAAGCCUGGGAAACUGGGUCUAAUACCGGAUAGGAGCCAUUUUUAGUGUGAUGGUUGGAAAGUUUUUUCGGUGUAGGAUGAGCUCGCGGCCUAUCAGCUUGUUGGUGGGGUAAUGGCCUACCAAGGCGGCGACGGGUAGCCGGCCUGAGAGGGUGGACGGCCACAUUGGGACUGAGAUACGGCCCAGACUCCUACGGGAGGCAGCAGUGGGGAAUAUUGCACAAUGGGCGCAAGCCUGAUGCAGCGACGCCGCGUGGGGGAUGACGGCCUUCGGGUUGUAAACUCCUUUCGCUAGGGACGAAGCUUUUUGUGACGGUACCUAGAUAAGAAGCACCGGCUAACUACGUG
Molecule: ribosomal RNA, 463 nt
Filed under: uncultured bacterium
Lineage: Bacteria
Description: partial 16S ribosomal RNA
Rfam family: Bacterial small subunit ribosomal RNA
Source: RNAcentral